Long non-coding RNA from Bubalus bubalis (water buffalo), 1145 nucleotides. RefSeq lists it as uncharacterized. Lineage: Eukaryota; Metazoa; Chordata; Mammalia; Artiodactyla; Bovidae. The transcript has 4 exons. The record is from RefSeq and is a predicted model, not a curated record.
CCUUCUCCUAAAAAAAGAAAAAAAAAAAAAAAACGGGAGAGGAGGCGGUUUUUGGAUAAUCGGGGUCAGGGGACUCAGGAAACCUUCCAGGUUCUCCCACCUCUAUGGAAACUGCUCGGAUUUUAUAUUUUGAGCUAGAUUUCCUCAUGACAUCUAUUAGAUGUGUUCCCCUCCUUCAUUCCUUCCUUCUGCUAAACUUCUUCAUGCCUCUUAUUGUGGUUACCAACUUAAAUUCCUUCCUUUCCUCCACUGUCUCUCCUCUACAUUAGGGAACCAUUCCUGCCCCUGCUUCUGAACUUCAGCCUCUCAACUCUGUCAGGUUGCAGGGCCCCUCUCAUUUUGCCCUCUGGCACCUGCAGAACCUUAAACCAGUCCAGGCUGAAACCAGCUCUGAUUCCUCAAGACAGACUGGAAACCUGGAGAAGUUUCUUGUCCCUUCCACCUGCUUCUGCUGUAGGAGGUCCUGAAAUCAUCCCAGUUGAGAAAAAGUAAUGACUCUUAUUACAAAGGCCUUUGCCUUAACAUCUCCUAAACCUCCUUAAAGUUAGAUAAGCUUUUUCUAAAUGUGAUCCCUCUUCCUUUAAGCAGCCGAGAAUUGACCAGGCUGGGAACACUAGCUGGAGAUACUGGUAAAACUUCAAAACUCCCCCAAGGCCAGCGGCUGCACUCUUACCUUUUACAGGAAAUACAUCACCCCCUGAAUGAGGGCCCAGGACAGAAGGAGUGGACCAGGACUCUGCAGACCGGAUACAGCGUCAUUCAAAUCUGGACUCUGCUAAAAUACAGACAUCCCCUCAUAGUAGGCUAGUAUCAUCCUUCCCACCACCCAGUUCCCACUCUGGAAAGGUUAGAAUUAAAUCUCCGUGAAAGAAAUGAUGGCCAAUCUGAGAUGAACACGUGCAUUGUAGUACUAGUUAUUUGGUUCCCCCAUCCACCGAAGCUUCCCUCUGCUCCACGUCACCAGGCUGGGGAUCCAUCCAGGAUGAAAGCUUCAUUAGCGACACUGUAUUGUAUGUUUCCUACACUAGCCUGUUCAAAGCGCACCUACUUUUAAGAGUAACCUUCAUUUCUUGGGCAGUAUCUCCAGCUCAUUUCCUCUCAUUCAAGUCUUCAAGAAAUGGUGGGAUUGCUACCACUCUGCCCCA